This 396-nucleotide ribosomal RNA is filed under the name uncultured bacterium. Its description in RNAcentral is "partial 16S ribosomal RNA". It matches the Rfam family "Bacterial small subunit ribosomal RNA", at positions 954 to 1334 of the family's 1533-position model. The record is from RNAcentral.
UUUUUUACCCAGAAAACUUACCCUAGUACCGCCCCCCACGGAAAAAUUUUGAAAAACGGGGGGGCUUUCGGGGGCGGGCCCCAAGGGUCCCUGGGUGUUGUCCCCUCGUGUUUUGGGAUGUUGGGGUUAAUUUCCCAAAGAGAGCAACACCCCUUCCUUUAUUUCCCCCCGUUAAGUCGGGGCAUUCUAGGGGGAUUCCGGGGACAAAUCGGAGGAAGGUGGGGAAGAAGUCAAGUUCUCAUGGCCCUUUUGUUCAGGGGUUCCCCCCUGGUUCAAUGGCCGGUACAAAGGGGUGCCAAACCGGGAGGGGGGACCAAUUCCAAAAAACCCGUCUCAAGUCGGAAUGGCGUUUGGCACUUGGCUCCCUGAAGUCCGAAUCGGGUUCAUACCACCUCA